UACAGAGGUGGCAAGCGUUGUUCGGAAUUACUGGGCGUAAAGGGCGCGUAGGCGGGAUGGCAAGUCGGUCGUGAAAUCCUUCGGCUCAACCGAAGAACGCCGGCCGAUACUGCCGUUCUUGAGGGAUGCAGAGGAGAUUGGAAUUCCCGGUGUAGCGGUGAAAUGUGUAGAGAUCGGGAGGAACACCGGUGGCGAAGGCGGGUCUCUGGGCAUCUCCUGACGCUGAGGCGCGAAAGCGUGGGGAGCAAACGGG
This 253-nucleotide ribosomal RNA is filed under the name uncultured bacterium. RNAcentral's name for it is "partial 16S ribosomal RNA". It matches the Rfam family "Bacterial small subunit ribosomal RNA", at positions 524 to 776 of the family's 1533-position model. The record is from RNAcentral.